AUUGAACGCUGGCGGCAUGCCUUACACAUGCAAGUCGAACGGCAGCACGGGUGCUUGCACCUGGUGGCGAGUGGCGAACGGGUGAGUAAUACAUCGGAACAUGUCCUGUAGUGGGGGAUAGCCCGGCGAAAGCCGGAUUAAUACCGCAUACGAUCUACGGAUGAAAGCGGGGGACCUUCGGGCCUCGCGCUAUAGGGUUGGCCGAUGGCUGAUUAGCUAGUUGGUGGGGUAAAGGCCUACCAAGGCGACGAUCAGUAGCUGGUCUGAGAGGACGACCAGCCACACUGGGACUGAGACACGGCCCAGACUCCUACGGGAGGCAGCAGUGGGGAAUUUUGGACAAUGGGCGAAAGCCUGAUCCAGCCAUGCCGCGUGUGUGAAGAAGGCCUUCGGGUUGUAAAGCACUUUUGUCCGGAAAGAAAUCCUUGGCCCUAAUACGGUCGGGGGAUGACGGUACCGGAAGAAUAAGCACCGGCUAACUACGUG
RNAcentral lists this ribosomal RNA (486 nucleotides) under uncultured bacterium. RNAcentral describes it as "partial 16S ribosomal RNA". It matches the Rfam family "Bacterial small subunit ribosomal RNA", at positions 30 to 507 of the family's 1533-position model. The record is from RNAcentral.